RNAcentral lists this ribosomal RNA (245 nucleotides) under uncultured bacterium. RNAcentral describes it as "partial 16S ribosomal RNA". It matches the Rfam family "Bacterial small subunit ribosomal RNA", at positions 524 to 768 of the family's 1533-position model. The record is from RNAcentral.
UACGAAGGGGGCUAGCGUUGUUCGGAAUUACUGGGCGUAAAGCGCACGUAGGCGGCUCGCUAAAUUAGGAGUGAAAGCCCUGGGCUCAACCCGGGAAUUGCUUUUAAGACUGGCGAGCUUGAAUCCGGAAGAGGGUAGCGGAAUUCCCAGUGUAGAGGUGAAAUUCGUAGAUAUUGGGAAGAACACCGGUGGCGAAGGCGGCUACCUGGUCCGGUAUUGACGCUGAUGUGCGAAAGCGUGGGGAG